AGCUCUCUAUAAGAAGAGUUCCUGGCCUUCGAGGUUAUCUUUAACUCAAAAAUUAAGCAAAGGAAAGGCAAACAAGUCAAAAGCCGACUUGUGUUUAGCAUGCCGCCGGCUUUCUCACGGCAUAUUAUAUGGCUAUCAUAAGGCUACUACAUGGGACGUAGCCAACAGCAGCCACAGCCACACGUGAGGAGCAGGCGAACCAGAUGUAAGGAGGCGAUUCGCCCAUUACCAAUAAAGAGAAAAAAGGGAACGUCAUAGAAGACGGAAAGAAUGGAACCCCACAUUUUCAGGCUUGCGAAAAAAAAAGAACGUGUAGUAUUUAUUUGUACAGCAACCUCUUGCUGCACUUACUAUACAAUAAGCAGAUCACUCUCUCUACCAUAAAGUCCGGAGAUGAUACGCAUGCCAAUGAUACAGACCGUACCGAAGAAGAUAGGCAGGGGAGUUAGAUGACUCAAUGGCUUCAACGCCUUUGGCACUAAAGGCUAGAGUAGCAACGCCAAAUAAGUCAAGAGUAGUUGGGAGUAUCGAGCAUAGGAGGUCAAUGUCGUAGCGUGCGACUGAACAAAGACUCACCUUAUCUUUGAGAUAAGCUGUACGUCUGAAUAUGAUGCCUGGCAAGUGUUUGUAGGAUAGUAUGAUACGGCAAAAUCUUUCUCAGUUGGAGAUUGUGUGUAAUCUUCGAGGGUAGGGGGCUUAACAGGUUCUUUAUAUAUAGACAACAACACCCAUAGAAAGGUUAUUAUUCAGUGAUCACGGGCUUUCUGAUUCACAUCAACUACCGUCGGGAUUACUUGGCCCAUCCUUCUGGUUGGGCGAAUCUUUGUCAUGCUGAUCCAGGAGAUCAGUCUCAAUGGUAGGUGGGAACAAAGACAAGCCAUUCAUUAGCCAUCAGAGUGACCAGCUGAACACAUGUAUGUUCCUUUGUUCUCCCUUCCG
This 939-nucleotide small RNA is filed under the name Cryptococcus neoformans H99. RNAcentral describes it as "Cryptococcus neoformans var. grubii H99 hypothetical RNA". The record is from RNAcentral. Lineage: Eukaryota; Fungi; Basidiomycota; Tremellomycetes; Tremellales; Cryptococcaceae.